UUCAUCAGAGUACAGUCAUCCAAUUGCACUCAAAUAUCUACUACAAAUUCGUGAAUGGAUCCAAGCGAGCUUCAAGGGCAGCUCGGGAAACAAUUCCUCACUAUCAUAACAUUUGUGGGGAAAUGGGUUGGUUUGAGUUCCAUAAAACUUAGUAAGAGAAAUAAUAUUUAAACCACACUACUAAAGUUUUAAAAGUUGUUUAUUUUUAAAACAUGUUGUUACCUUCAUAAUCAAUGACUUACCUAUAC
RNAcentral lists this long non-coding RNA (248 nucleotides) under Carica papaya (papaya). RNAcentral describes it as "long non-coding RNA (CPAP_LNC010944)". Lineage: Eukaryota; Viridiplantae; Streptophyta; Magnoliopsida; Brassicales; Caricaceae. The record is from RNAcentral.